RNAcentral lists this ribosomal RNA (440 nucleotides) under uncultured bacterium. RNAcentral's name for it is "partial 16S ribosomal RNA". It matches the Rfam family "Bacterial small subunit ribosomal RNA", at positions 338 to 795 of the family's 1533-position model. The record is from RNAcentral.
CCUACGGGUGGCAGCAGUAGGGAAUAUUGCUCAAUGGGGGAAACCCUGAAGCAGCAACGCAGCGUGGAGGAUGAAGGUUUUAGGAUUGUUAAAUCCUUUUGUUAGAGAAGUAAAUGACGGUAUGUAACGAAUAAGCCCUGGCUAACUCGGUGCCAGCAGCCGCGGUAAUACGGAGGGUGCAGGCGUUACUCGGAAUCACUGGGCGUAAAGAGCGCGUAGGCGGGUUAGCAAGUCAGAUGUGAAAGCCUACGGCUUAACCAUAGAACUGCAUUUGAAACUGUUAUUCUAGAGUAUGGUAGAGGUAGGUGGAAUUCUUGGUGUAGGGGUAAAAUCCUUAGAGAUCAAGAGGAAUACUCAUUGCGAAGGCAACCUGCUAGAACAUAACUGACGCUGAUGCGCGAAAGCGUGGGGAGCAAACAGGAUUAGAUACCCCUGUAGUC